Molecule: non-coding RNA, 421 nt
Organism: Heterocephalus glaber (naked mole-rat)
Lineage: Eukaryota; Metazoa; Chordata; Mammalia; Rodentia; Bathyergidae
Source: RefSeq, a predicted model, not a curated record
GAUGAAGCCUCCCGGGAAGCUGGCUACCCCGGGAGGGAGCCCAGGUCAACACGGAGAUGCCCUUCCAAACAGGGCCCCGAACAGCUGAAGGGCUCCAGUUACCCAAGAAAACGUGGCAUGUCAAUUUAGAAAAUAUUAAACAAGAUAGCAAGAUUAAUGAGCUUAUUCAAAAAAAAGGAAAUAAGUCUUGGUGAGGAAUCCUAAAUUCUAGGUAGCAAGCUGCCCAGGAAUAUGAAAGAGACUGGAGACCCCCAGAGUGCUGCAAUGACACAAGUGAGCCACCCAGCGAGCUGCACCUUGGAUUUCGACACGCUCUCCACGCUGCUGGACAGGUCGUCGAUCUCGAGCUUGAACUCGCUCUUCUCCUUCUCUAGCUUCUGCUUGACCCGCUGCAGGUUGUCGAUCUGCUCCGCGAGCUCAG